CAGCUAGUUGGUGAGGUAACGGCUCACCAAGGCGACGACGGGUAGCUGGUCUGAGAGGAUGUCCAGCCACACUGGGACUGAGACACGGCCCAGACUCCUACGGGAGGCAGCAGUUAGGAAUCUUGCGCAAUGGACGAAAGUCUGACGCAGCGACGCCGCGUGCGGGAUGAAGGCCUUCGGGUUGUAAACCGCUUUCAGCAGGGACGAAAUUGACGGUACCUGCAGAAGAAGCCCCGGCCAACUACGUGCCAGCAGCCGCGGUAAUACGUAGGGGGCAAGCGUUGUCCGGAUUUAUUGGGCGUAAAGAGCUCGUAGGUGGUUCGGUAAGUCGGAUGUGAAAUCUCCAGGCUCAACCUGGAGGGGUCAUUCGAUACUGCCGUGACUAGAGGUCGGUAGGGGAGUGUGGAAUUCCUGGUGGAGCGGUGAAAUGCGCAGAUAUCAGGAGGAACACCCGUAGCGAAGGCGGCACUCUGGGCCGAUACUGACACUGAGGAGCGAAAGCGUGGGGAGCGAACAGGAUUAGAUACCCUGGUAGUCCACGCCGUAAACGUUGGGCACUAGGUGUGGGACUCUAUCGACGGGUUCCGUGCCGUAGCUAACGCAUUAA
Molecule: ribosomal RNA, 607 nt
Filed under: uncultured Actinomycetes bacterium
Lineage: Bacteria; Bacillati; Actinomycetota; Actinomycetes
Description: SSU rRNA
Rfam family: Bacterial small subunit ribosomal RNA
Source: RNAcentral